GUUCAUGUGAUGAAUUUAACUGUUCAACUGCUGAAUGAUACAGACAUGAACUAAAAUCUUCAUUCUGAUUGAG
Echinops telfairi (small Madagascar hedgehog) is the source of this 73-nucleotide small nucleolar RNA. Ensembl annotates it as small nucleolar RNA, C/D box 5. Its record names the gene SNORD5. Lineage: Eukaryota; Metazoa; Chordata; Mammalia; Afrosoricida; Tenrecidae. The record is from Ensembl.